UACAGAGGGGGCUAGCGUUGUUCGGAAUUACUGGGCGUAAAGGGCGCGUAGGCGGCCUGUUAAGUCGAACGUGAAAUCCCCGGGCUCAACCCGGGAACUGCGUCCGAUACUGGCAGGCUUGAAUCCGGGAGAGGGAUGUGGAAUUCCAGGUGUAGCGGUGAAAUGCGUAGAUAUCUGGAGGAACACCGGUGGCGAAGGCGGGUCUCUGGGCCGAUACUGACGCUGAGGAGCGAAAGCGUGGGGAGCGAACAGG
This 253-nucleotide ribosomal RNA is filed under the name uncultured bacterium. RNAcentral's name for it is "partial 16S ribosomal RNA". It matches the Rfam family "Bacterial small subunit ribosomal RNA", at positions 524 to 776 of the family's 1533-position model. The record is from RNAcentral.